RNAcentral lists this ribosomal RNA (858 nucleotides) under Acremonium sp. BRO-2013. RNAcentral describes it as "eukaryotic LSU rRNA". The stretch from base 640 to 858 matches the Rfam family "Eukaryotic large subunit ribosomal RNA", at positions 1 to 218 of the family's 3401-position model. Lineage: Eukaryota; Fungi; Ascomycota; Sordariomycetes; Hypocreales; Bionectriaceae. The record is from RNAcentral.
AGUGAUGGCUCAGUGAGGCUUUCGGACUGGCCCGGAGUGGGGGGCGACCCCCGCCCUGGGCCGGAAAGUUAUCCGAACUCGGUCAUUUAGAGGAAGUAAAAGUCGUAACAAGGUCUCCGUUGGUGAACCAGCGGAGGGAUCAUUACCGAGUUCCAUCUCGACAACCCUUUGUGAACCAAAACUAUUGUUGCUUCGGCGGCGCGGAACGCCUCUCGCAGGCGCGCCGCGCCCGCCGGUAACCCCAGAAUCUCUGUUCGAACCCGACGUUACUUCUGAGUGUUCUAAGCGAACUGUUAAAACUUUCAACAACGGAUCUCUUGGCUCUAGCAUCGAUGAAGAACGCAGCGAAACGCGAUAAGUAGUGUGAAUUGCAGAAUUCAGUGAAUCAUCGAAUCUUUGAACGCACAUGGCGCCCCCCGGCAUCCCGGGGGGCAUGCCUGUCCGAGCGUCGUUUCAACCCUCGAGCCCUCCGUGGCCCGGCGUUGGGGAUCUCCGGCUCCGGCCGUAGGCCCCGAAAUACAGUGGCGGACCCGCGACGGCCCCUCCUUUGCGCAGUAGCACUAGCCUCGCAUCGGGAGCCCGCGGGCGCUCCGGCCUCUAAACUCCACUUUUAAAGCCCGUCUCCGGCGGCACCAAGGUUGACCUCGGAUCAGGUAGGAAUACCCGCUGAACUUAAGCAUAUCAAUAAGCGGAGGAAAAGAAACCAACAGGGAUUGCCCUAGUAACGGCGAGUGAAGCGGCAACAGCUCAAAUUUGAAAUCUGGCUCCCUUGGGGGUCCGAGUUGUAAUUUGCAGAGGAUGCCUCGGGUGCGGGUUCCUUCCGAGUUCCCUGGAACGGGACGCCAUAGAGGGUGAGAG